Molecule: ribosomal RNA, 1025 nt
Filed under: Virgibacillus olivae
Lineage: Bacteria; Bacillati; Bacillota; Bacilli; Caryophanales; Bacillaceae
Description: bacterial SSU rRNA
Rfam family: Bacterial small subunit ribosomal RNA
Source: RNAcentral
CUAAUACAUGCAAGUCGAGCGCGGGAAGCAGGCAGAUCCUCUUCGGAGGUGACGCCUGUGGAACGAGCGGCGGACGGGUGAGUAACACGUGGGCAACCUGCCUGUAAGACUGGGAUAACCCCGGGAAACCGGGGCUAAUACCGGAUAAUACUUUUCGUUGCAUAACGAGAAGUUGAAAGGCGGCUUUUAGCUGUCACUUACAGAUGGGCCCGCGGCGCAUUAGCUAGUUGGUAAGGUAACGGCUUACCAAGGCGACGAUGCGUAGCCGACCUGAGAGGGUGAUCGGCCACACUGGGACUGAGACACGGCCCAGACUCCUACGGGAGGCAGCAGUAGGGAAUCUUCCGCAAUGGACGAAAGUCUGACGGAGCAACGCCGCGUGAGUGAUGAAGGUUUUCGGAUCGUAAAACUCUGUUGUCAGGGAAGAACAAGUGCCGUUCAAAUAGGGCGGCACCUUGACGGUACCUGACCAGAAAGCCCCGGCUAACUACGUGCCAGCAGCCGCGGUAAUACGUAGGGGGCAAGCGUUGUCCGGAAUUAUUGGGCGUAAAGCGCGCGCAGGCGGUCCUUUAAGUCUGAUGUGAAAGCCCACGGCUUAACCGUGGAGGGCCAUUGGAAACUGGAGGACUUGAGUACAGAAGAGGAGAGUGGAAUUCCACGUGUAGCGGUGAAAUGCGUAGAGAUGUGGAGGAACACCAGUGGCGAAGGCGACUCUCUGGUCUGUAACUGACGCUGAGGUGCGAAAGCGUGGGGAGCGAACAGGAUUAGAUACCCUGGUAGUCCACGCCGUAAACGAUGAGUGCUAGGUGUUAGGGGGGUUUCCGCCCCUUAGUGCUGAAGUUAACGCAUUAAGCACUCCGCCUGGGGAGUACGGCCGCAAGGCUGAAACUCAAAAGAAUUGACGGGGGCCCGCACAAGCGGUGGAGCAUGUGGUUUAAUUCGAAGCAACGCGAAGAACCUUACCAGGUCUUGACAUCCUCUGCCAAUCCUAGAGAUAGGAUGUUCCCUUCGGGGACAGAGUGACA